RNAcentral lists this unclassified non-coding RNA (278 nucleotides) under air metagenome. RNAcentral describes it as "partial contains small subunit ribosomal RNA, internal transcribed spacer 1, and 5.8S ribosomal RNA". The stretch from base 1 to 46 matches the Rfam family "Eukaryotic small subunit ribosomal RNA", at positions 1786 to 1831 of the family's 1831-position model. The record is from RNAcentral.
AAGUCGUAACAAGGUUUCCGUAGGUGAACCUGCGGAAGGAUCAUUAUUGAAACUUCAUCCGGGGCGCCGCGGCCCUCAGCACCGGUGGAAACGCCGUGUUGCGGGGGCCGCGCGUGCACUCGUCCAAACCAAACCCCUGUGAACCUUACGGGAUGGCCUGGGUUAGCGCCCGGUGCCGUUCCGCUUUAUACAAACACUUAUCAAAGAAUGAACUGAAGGCGGUCUGACCGCUGGAUAACAAACUGAAACAACUUUCAACAACGGAUCUCUUGGCUCUC